AGGUGCUAAUACCGGAUAAUAAAGCAGAUCGCAUGAUCAGCUUUUGAAAGGCGGCGUAAGCUGUCGCUAAGGGAUGGCCCCGCGGUGCAUUAGCUAGUUGGUAAGGUAACGGCUUACCAAGGCGACGAUGCAUAGCCGAGUUGAGAGACUGAUCGGCCACAUUGGGACUGAGACACGGCCCAAACUCCUACGGGAGGCAGCAGUAGGGAAUCUUCCACAAUGGACGCAAGUCUGAUGGAGCAACGCCGCGUGAGUGAAGAAGGUUUUCGGAUCGUAAAGCUCUGUUGUUGGUGAAGAAGGAUAGAGGUAGUAACUGGCCUUUAUUUGACGGUAAUCAACCAGAAAGUCACGGCUAACUACGUGCCAGCAGCCGCGGUAAUACAUAGGUGGCAAGCGUUGUCCGGAUUUAUUGGGCGUAAAGCGAGCGCAGGCGGAAAAAUAAGUCUAAUGUGAAAGCCCUCGGCUUAACCGAGGAACUGCAUCGGAAACUGUUUUUCUUGAGUGCAGAAAGAGGAGAGUGGAACUCCAUGUGUAGCGGUGGAAUGCGUAGAUAUAUGGAAGAACACCAGUGGCGAAGGCGGCUCUCUGGUCUGCAACUGA
Molecule: ribosomal RNA, 600 nt
Filed under: uncultured bacterium
Lineage: Bacteria
Description: bacterial SSU rRNA
Rfam family: Bacterial small subunit ribosomal RNA
Source: RNAcentral